This 495-nucleotide ribosomal RNA is filed under the name uncultured bacterium. RNAcentral describes it as "partial 16S ribosomal RNA". It matches the Rfam family "Bacterial small subunit ribosomal RNA", at positions 28 to 507 of the family's 1533-position model. The record is from RNAcentral.
GACGAACGCUGGCGGCGUGCCUAAUACAUGCAAGUAGAACGCUGAAGGAGGAGCUUGCUUCUCUGGAUGAGUUGCGAACGGGUGAGUAACGCGUAGGUAACCUGCCUGGUAGCGGGGGAUAACUAUUGGAAACGAUAGCUAAUACCGCAUAAGAGUAGAUGUUGCAUGACAUUUGCUUAAAAGGUGCAAUUGCAUCACUACCAGAUGGACCUGCGUUGUAUUAGCUAGUUGGUGAGGUAACGGCUCACCAAGGCGACGAUACAUAGCCGACCUGAGAGGGUGAUAGGCCACACUGAGACUGAGACACGGCCCAGACUCCUACGGGAGGCAGCAGUAGGGAAUCUUCGGCAAUGGACGGAAGUCUGACCGAGCAACGCCGCGUGAGGGAAGAAGGUUUUCGGAUCGUAAAGCUCUGUUGUAAGAGAAGAACGAGUGUGAGAGUGGAAAGUUCACACUGUGACGGUAUCUUACCAGAAAGGGACGGCUAACUACGUG